Molecule: unclassified non-coding RNA, 112 nt
Organism: Cercocebus atys (sooty mangabey)
Lineage: Eukaryota; Metazoa; Chordata; Mammalia; Primates; Cercopithecidae
Rfam family: Y RNA
About the family: Y RNAs are components of the Ro ribonucleoprotein particle (Ro RNP), in association with Ro60 and La proteins. The Y RNAs and Ro60 and La proteins are well conserved, but the function of the Ro RNP is not known.
Source: Ensembl
AGCUGGUCUGAAGGUAGUGAGUUAUCGCAUUGAAUGUUCACAGUCAGUUACAGAUUGAACGCCUUGUUCUACCCUUUUCCUCCUCCUCACUGCUGCACUUGACUAGCCUUAC